GACAGUCAGGGACAGAUUGAA
Molecule: microRNA, 21 nt
Filed under: Marchantia polymorpha subsp. ruderalis
Lineage: Eukaryota; Viridiplantae; Streptophyta; Marchantiopsida; Marchantiales; Marchantiaceae
Source: RNAcentral